Molecule: ribosomal RNA, 497 nt
Filed under: uncultured bacterium
Lineage: Bacteria
Description: partial 16S ribosomal RNA
Rfam family: Bacterial small subunit ribosomal RNA
Source: RNAcentral
GAUGAACGCUGGCGGCGUGCCUAAUACAUGCCAGUCGAGCGAACGGACGAGAAGCUUGCCUCUCUGAUGUUAGCGGCGGACGGGUGAGUAACACGUGGAUAACCUACCUAUAAGACUGGGAUAACUUCGGGAAACCGGAGCUAAUACCGGAUGAUAUUUUGAACCGCAUGGUUCAAAAGUGAAAGACGGUCUUGCUGUCACUUAUAGAUGGAUCCGCGCUGCAUUAGCUAGUUGGUAAGGUAACGGCUUACCAAGGCAACGAUGCAUAGCCGACCUGAGAGGGUGAUCGGCCACACUGGAACUGAGACACGGUCCAGACUCCUACGGGAGGCAGCAGUAGGGAAUCUUCCGCAAUGGGCGAAAGCCUGACGGAGCAACGCCGCGUGAGUGAUGAAGGUCUUCGGAUCGUAAAACUCUGUUAUUAGGGAAGAACAUAUGUGUAAGUAACUGUGCACAUCUUGACGGUACCUAAUCAGAAAGCCACGGCUAACUACGUG